Molecule: ribosomal RNA, 497 nt
Filed under: uncultured bacterium
Lineage: Bacteria
Description: partial 16S ribosomal RNA
Rfam family: Bacterial small subunit ribosomal RNA
Source: RNAcentral
GAUGAACGCUGGCGGCGUGCCUAAUACAUGCAAGUCGAGCGAACGGACGAGAAGCUUGCUUCUCUGAUGUUAGCGGCGGACGGGUGAGUAACACGUGGAUAACCUACCUAUAAGACUGGGAUAACUUCGGGAAACCGGAGCUAAUACCGGAUGAUAUUUUGAACCGCAUGGUUCAAAAGUGAAAGACGGUCUUGCUGUCACUUAUAGAUGGAUCCGCGCUGCAUUAGCUAGUUGGUAAGGUAACGGCUUACCAAGGCAACGGUGCAUAGCCGACCUGAGAGGGUGAUCGGCCACACUGGAACUGAGACACGGUCCAGACUCCUACGGGAGGCGGCAGUAGGGAAUCUUCCGCAAUGGGCGAAAGCCUGACGGAGCAACGCCGCGUGAGUGAUGAAGGUCUUCGGAUCGUAAAACUCUGUUAUUAGGGAAGAACAUAUGUGUAAGUAACUGUGCACAUCUUGACGGUACCUAAUCAGAAAGCCACGGCUAACUACGUG